CCUGCUUUAGCACCCCUGCUGUGCCGCUGACCAGAAGUCGCCCGAGAUUUCACACCUCUCACUGGCAGGAUUCAUUAGUAAGUGUUUGCUGAGUGCUCUGAAGAGAAAGGUGUUAUAUAAAGGCUAAGGAGGAUCCUUGAGAAAGAGGAGGUGAAAGUGGCUUCUUCACGGGAGGCUCCCUCAUGGAAGGAGUGAGAGAGAAGAGCAGCCUCAUUCAGUGCAAUUCAGUGGCUUACAGGCCCAGUCACUUCACUUCUAGUCUCUCCGGAUUCUCCUCAAGUUCACUGUGCCUGUCACUGAUAACCAGGCACCAUCCCGAUCUUAGCCAUGUCAAUCAGGUUCAGCAUUAAACUAUGCAGGAGUGUGAGCUAAACUUGCAAACUAAAACCAAAA
Molecule: long non-coding RNA, 393 nt
Organism: Mauremys reevesii (Reeves's turtle)
Lineage: Eukaryota; Metazoa; Chordata; Testudines; Geoemydidae
Exons: 2
Source: RefSeq, a predicted model, not a curated record